RNAcentral lists this long non-coding RNA (2576 nucleotides) under Struthio camelus australis. RNAcentral describes it as "lncRNA (ENSSCUG00000006119.1)". The record is from RNAcentral. Lineage: Eukaryota; Metazoa; Chordata; Aves; Struthioniformes; Struthionidae.
AUGUAACUGGGACAUCAAUACUUUUCUUUCUCCUGAUUCCAGAAUUCUGUGCUUUAGGUUCUUCUUAGAUCCAGAAGUUUGUCUGGAUCAAAGUACUUUGUGAUUUUGAAGACCUAAAUGGGGCCAUAACAAAGUUUGGUGCUCUGCAGUGAGAAAAAGAUCAUGUAUACAUUUCUGCAUAAUAAAAUGAAAACCAAGAAAGCUUAUACUGUGGCAGCCCAACAUCAAAUGCGUCGAGGACGUGAAGACACACACAAGCACUGAUGUAUUACUAAAAUGGAUAAUGUACAUGGAAUUAGAUACUUCAUCUAAUUCAGAAUUCAGUGGACCCAUUGCAAAGCAAAAAGAUGCAGAGUACAUAACCUAUAAAGAAUCACGUAUCGUCUAACCCUGACUCUGAAAAAGGGAUUAACGCCUGAGGAGGGAGAGUAUGGGGGAGGACUACUAUACCACCUCAUGCACUGGCAGGUCGUCCGUAAUUUGUUACACUUUGUUCUCAGUUUUAGGGUCUGACUGGACACAGUAGUGAUGUCUUUUCAAGUUAUUUAUUUUGCGUGGUUUAACACUGUCAUACUGCUAGUAAGAUAUCUGGGACCUGUGAGUGCACUUUGAAAACCGGAUUCUCAGGUCUCUGUAAAUCUUCCGAUUUCCAGUGGUUCAAGGAGGAUUAAGAGUUAUGUCACACAGAAAGGAAAAAAAGUUAGUCUCUCGUUAGUUCUCAUUAAUUUCUUCCAGCUAUAAGGGGUGCACCAGCCAUGAAAAAGUGUCUCAUUAGUCCUGUGCUAGAAGUCACUGGGAAAGGCAACUGGACAGCUUCAGGCGGGGUGUUCUGUUUGGGUAGUGAUUUCUAGAGGUUUCACGACUGGGAAAGCCAAGAGACUUUUAUAGGGUUCCUCAUUUCUCCUGGAAAUAAGGACCUAGGGCCACCUUUCAGAAGAUGAUGACAGAUACAUUAAAUGACUGACACAAUUCAGGUUUCUAACUGAAUGAUUAAAAUGGGAGGAAGGCACAUUCUUGCACACGUUUGAAAAUCCAUCAGAUACGUAUUUGCAUAUUUAGGCACCGAAAUGCCUUUGGUUAGUUGCUUCUUCUCUGUAGAAUGCUACAGGACUGCUCUUUUCUUGUUUUCAAAGGAGUUUAAAUGUUACAUUAUUUAAUAUUCUUAUAGACAUAUUUCUUACCAUUUUCUGAAAUAUUUAGAAAGCUGCUGAAUCAUUAGCAAAGGAAGUUCGCCUGUUUUACAAAAGACAUUGUUUUAGAAAACAUUUCUGCCUUUUUUCUCUUCCCUUUGAUUUGAAGAGGUUAUUUGGGCUGUAGCUCAAGUGUGUCUGAGUGUCUGUCUCUCUGUUCACCUUAUCUGGGAUGCAAAUUGGACACUUAGAAAUGUUGCUGCUUUGAUUCAAUUUAUGGGAGGGCAAACUAAAAAGGAAUGAGAUUCUCAGAUCUUUGCAAGUUUAUUUGUUGACCGUAGCAAUGUUUAAUUAAAUAUAUUUAUGUAAUAUCUUUAUGCAGAUCUAAAGAUUUCAAUUUUCUUGUCAGGCGGGUUUCUGCUUUUACCUAAGUAUUACAGCUGCACAGACAGGAACAAAGAUGCCAGUACAUUGAAAUAUCAGUAAAUUGUUAAGGACCUCCUGGGCUCACAGUUUCCAUCUAACUAGGGAUGACGUAUUCUUAAUUUUUGUAGCUUUCUGUGGUUAUAUACAGCCAAUCAAUUGUAAUUUUGGCGCUGGAAUUAGUGGUAGGAAUCAACCUUUAACACCAACUCUUAACACAACGCUAUCUGAAAUAUCCACCUCCACCCACGCAUAAAUCAUAUAGUGCCAACAGCUAACCUAUAGUUAUGAUUCCAGCAUUUCAUGUGACAGUCUGAGGUAACUGUUGGUAAAGAUUCGAUUUUUAAUGGCAGAGCUUUUAACUCCGCUCUCUGCAGAACCCUUGCAAGUUAAGUUAAAAAUAGCGCUGCCGUAUGGAUUGUUAACCUGAAGGUCAUAGUAAUGCUCACUUUGCGGAGAGCAAGACAGAAGAUUUUUUUUUCCUUUUGCAACAGUAACUAAAAAUGUUGAAAAGGCUUAGAAUCACUGCAAAAGAGAUGCGUACAAACCUGCUUCAGGCCAUAUUAAGGUAUCGUCUGUUUUAAGAGAGGAGAGAACUUCAAAAUCUGGCUCACAUCCUCAGCUGCGCUGACUGGCAGCAAGUUUGCCUAUAAUUCGGCUUUGCACUUUCAGUGCACAGCAGAUUGCAGGACACAGUUUUGCAGUUGGAGAGGCUCACUAUGGGGCAUGUAACAUUUGGGACUGUUGAAACCCAUUUUGUCCUGGAGCUACUUCUUCCUAACAGUACUACGAUUACCAGAAACCCUUUGUUACCCAAUUAGAUAUGUUUAAGAUUACCUUUUGGUACUGAUAUUCACAGGCCUGCUGUAUUAUUUUCCAUUAUUUUGUCCUUAGAAUAAUGAAAUGUUAAAGGAAAAGAGGAAUCCUUCAUAUUAUAUGGCUGUCACAGAAAAGUCAGCCUGGCUAUGAAGUAAAAGAGCAAACCAAUAAGGAACAGCUAAAUAAAGAGUAAUAUUUAAUUCA